Molecule: transfer RNA, 87 nt
Filed under: Candidatus Roizmanbacteria bacterium CG_4_9_14_3_um_filter_33_18
Lineage: Bacteria; Candidatus Roizmaniibacteriota
Also listed under: 1 other name
Description: tRNA-Leu
Rfam family: tRNA
About the family: Transfer RNA (tRNA) molecules are approximately 80 nucleotides in length. Their secondary structure includes four short double-helical elements and three loops (D, anti-codon, and T loops).
Source: RNAcentral
GCCGGGGUGGCGGAACUGGCAUACGCGCAAGUCUCAAAAACUUGUGAGAGCAAUUUCAUGAGGGUUCAACUCCCUCUCCCGGCACUA